UGCGGAGUGGUAGCAGGUGGUAGCUCGUCAGCCUCAUAAGCUGAAGGUCGUCGGUUCGAGUCCGACCUCCGCAA
This 74-nucleotide transfer RNA is filed under the name Caudoviricetes sp. RNAcentral's name for it is "tRNA-Met". It matches the Rfam family "tRNA". Rfam says of the family: Transfer RNA (tRNA) molecules are approximately 80 nucleotides in length. Their secondary structure includes four short double-helical elements and three loops (D, anti-codon, and T loops). Further hydrogen bonds mediate the characteristic L-shaped molecular structure. tRNAs have two regions of fundamental functional importance: the anti-codon, which is responsible for specific mRNA codon recognition, and the 3' end, to which the tRNAs corresponding amino acid is attached (by aminoacyl-tRNA synthetases). tRNAs cope with the degeneracy of the genetic code in two manners: having more than one tRNA (with a specific anti-codon) for a particular amino acid; and 'wobble' base-pairing, i.e. permitting non-standard base-pairing at the 3rd anti-codon position. The record is from RNAcentral. Lineage: Duplodnaviria; Heunggongvirae; Uroviricota; Caudoviricetes.